This 64-nucleotide transfer RNA is filed under the name Curculionoidea sp. 21 KM-2017. Its description in RNAcentral is "tRNA-Tyr". It matches the Rfam family "tRNA". From Rfam's summary of the family: Transfer RNA (tRNA) molecules are approximately 80 nucleotides in length. Their secondary structure includes four short double-helical elements and three loops (D, anti-codon, and T loops). Lineage: Eukaryota; Metazoa; Arthropoda; Insecta; Coleoptera. The record is from RNAcentral.
GGUAAAAUGGCUGAAUUGUAGGCGAUAAAUUGUAAAUUUAUUUAUGAAUGUUUUUCUUUUACCA